CAGAAAUUAGUUUAAAAAAUAUUGAUUUUGGAGAUCAAAGAUGAGUAUAUUUACUUAUUUCUGA
RNAcentral lists this transfer RNA (64 nucleotides) under Paramastax nigra. RNAcentral's name for it is "tRNA-Pro". The record is from RNAcentral. Lineage: Eukaryota; Metazoa; Arthropoda; Insecta; Orthoptera; Eumastacidae.